Molecule: transfer RNA, 57 nt
Filed under: Muntiacus reevesi (Reeves' muntjac)
Lineage: Eukaryota; Metazoa; Chordata; Mammalia; Artiodactyla; Cervidae
Rfam family: tRNA
About the family: Transfer RNA (tRNA) molecules are approximately 80 nucleotides in length. Their secondary structure includes four short double-helical elements and three loops (D, anti-codon, and T loops).
Source: Rfam by way of RNAcentral
UAGUUCAGUUGGUAAAGAAUCUGCCUGCAAUGCAGGAGACCCAGGUUCAAUUCCUGG